Molecule: non-coding RNA, 979 nt
Filed under: Drosophila sechellia
Lineage: Eukaryota; Metazoa; Arthropoda; Insecta; Diptera; Drosophilidae
Description: Eukaryotic large subunit ribosomal RNA
Rfam family: Eukaryotic large subunit ribosomal RNA
Source: Rfam by way of RNAcentral
CAACCUCAACUCAUAUGAGACUACCCCCUGAAUUUAAGCAUAUUAAUUAGGGGAGGAAAAGAAACUAACAAGGAUUUUCUUAGUAGCGGCGAGCGAAAAGAAAACAGUUCAGCACUAAGUCACUUUGUCUAUAUGGCAAAUGUGAGAUGCAGUGUAUGGAGCGUCAAUAUUCUAGUAUGAGAAAUUAAUGAUUUAAGUCCUUCUUAAAUGAGGCCAUUUACCCAUAGAGGGUGCCAGGCCCGUAUAACGUUAAUGAUUGCUAGAUGAUGUUUCCAAAGAGUCGUGUUGCUUGAUAGUGCAGCACUAAGUGGGUGGUAAACUCCAUCUAAAACUAAAUAUAACCAUGAGACCGAUAGUAAACAAGUACCGUGAGGGAAAGUUGAAAAGAACUCUGAAUAGAGAGUUAAACAGUACGUGAAACUGCUUAGAGGUUAAGCCCGAUGAACCUGAAUAUCCGUUAUGGAAAAUUCAUCAUUAAAAUUGUAAUAUUUAAAUAAUAUUAUUAAGAAUAAUGUGCAUUUUUUCCAUAUAAGGACAUUGUAAUCUAUUAGCAUAUCCCAAAUUUAUCAUAAAAUAUAACUUAUAGUUUAUUCCAAUUAAAUUGCUUGCAUUUUAACACAGAAUAAAUGUUAUUAAUUUGAUAAAGUGCUGAUAGAUUUAUAUUAUUACAGAGCGUUAAUUUUUCGGAAUUAUAUAAUGGCAUAAUUAUCAUUGAUUUUUGUGUUUAUUAUAUGCUCUUGUAUGAUUAACAAUGCGAAAGAUUCAGGAUACCUUCGGGACCCGUCUUGAAACACGGACCAAGGAGUCUAACAUAUGUGCAAGUUAUUGGGAUGUAAACCUAAUAGCGUAAUUAACUUGACUAAUAAUGGGAUUAGUUUUUUAGCUAUUUAUAGAUAAUUAACACAAUCCCGGGGCGUUCUAUAUAGUUAUGUAUAAUGUAUAUUUAUAUUAUUUAUGCCUCUAACUGGAACGUACCUGA